Molecule: ribosomal RNA, 493 nt
Filed under: uncultured bacterium
Lineage: Bacteria
Description: bacterial SSU rRNA
Rfam family: Bacterial small subunit ribosomal RNA
Source: RNAcentral
GAUGAACGCUAGCGGCAGGCUUAAUACAUGCAAGUCGAGGGGCAGCACGGUUAGCAAUAACUGGUGGUGACCGGCGCACGGGUGCGUAACACGUAUACAAUCUACCUUAAACAGGGGGAUAGCCUUUCGAAAGAGAGAUUAAUACCCCGUAAUAAAUUGAACGGCAUCGUUUGAUUUUGAAAGCUCCGGCGGUUUGAGAUGAGUAUGCGUCUGAUUAGCUAGUUGGUGAGGUAACGGCUCACCAAGGCGACGAUCAGUAGGGGAUCUGAGAGGACUAACCCCCCACACUGGUACUGAGACACGGACCAGACUCCUACGGGAGGCAGCAGUAAGGAAUAUUGGUCAAUGGAGGCAACUCUGAACCAGCCAUGCCGCGUGCAGGAUGACGGCCCUAUGGGUUGUAAACUGCUUUUAUACAAGAGAAAACCCUGGUACGUGUACCAGGUUGAUAGUAUUGUAAGAAUAAGCAUCGGCUAACUUCGUGCCAGCAGCC